Molecule: small nuclear RNA, 190 nt
Organism: Rhinichthys klamathensis goyatoka
Lineage: Eukaryota; Metazoa; Chordata; Actinopteri; Cypriniformes; Leuciscidae
Product: U2 spliceosomal RNA
Exons: 1
Source: RefSeq, a predicted model, not a curated record
AUCGCUUCUCGGCCUUUUGGCUAAGAUCAAGUGUAGUAUCUGUUCUUAUCAGUUUAAUAUCUGAAAAGUGCCCUACCCGGGCACCAUAUAUUAAAUUGCUUUUUGGAGCUGGGAGAUGGAAUCAGUCCGUCAAGGGUGUCCGUUAUCUCCGCUUGUAUGUGGUUUGCAUCGAACCACUGGCACAGCUCUU